Molecule: ribosomal RNA, 271 nt
Filed under: Sphingomonas sp.
Lineage: Bacteria; Pseudomonadati; Pseudomonadota; Alphaproteobacteria; Sphingomonadales; Sphingomonadaceae
Description: partial 16S ribosomal RNA
Rfam family: Bacterial small subunit ribosomal RNA
Source: RNAcentral
CAACUUGAGAGUUUGAUCCUGGCUCAGAACGAACGCUGGCGGCAUGCCUAACACAUGCAAGUCGAACGAGACCUUCGGGUCUAGUGGCGCACGGGUGCGUAACGCGUGGGAAUCUGCCUUUCGGUUCGGAAUAACAGUUAGAAAUGACUGCUAAUACCGGAUGAUGUCGCAAGACCAAAGAUUUAUCGCCGAAAGAUGAGCCCGCGUAGGAUUAGCUAGUUGGUGUGGUAAAGGCGCACCAAGGCGACGAUCCUUAGCUGGUCUGAGAGGA